GGGCCAUUAGCUUAUCUGGCAGAGCAUAGCAUUCGCAUUGCUAAGAGGGCGGUUCGACUCCGCCAUGGUCCACCA
RNAcentral lists this transfer RNA (75 nucleotides) under Candidatus Shapirobacteria bacterium RIFOXYA1_FULL_39_17. RNAcentral's name for it is "tRNA-Ala". It matches the Rfam family "tRNA". Rfam says of the family: Transfer RNA (tRNA) molecules are approximately 80 nucleotides in length. Their secondary structure includes four short double-helical elements and three loops (D, anti-codon, and T loops). Further hydrogen bonds mediate the characteristic L-shaped molecular structure. tRNAs have two regions of fundamental functional importance: the anti-codon, which is responsible for specific mRNA codon recognition, and the 3' end, to which the tRNAs corresponding amino acid is attached (by aminoacyl-tRNA synthetases). tRNAs cope with the degeneracy of the genetic code in two manners: having more than one tRNA (with a specific anti-codon) for a particular amino acid; and 'wobble' base-pairing, i.e. permitting non-standard base-pairing at the 3rd anti-codon position. Lineage: Bacteria; Candidatus Shapironibacteriota. The record is from RNAcentral. RNAcentral also lists the same sequence under 4 other names.